GAUGAACGCUGGCGGCGUGUCUAAUACAUGCAAGUCGAGCGAACAGAUGAGGAGCUUGCUCCUCUGACGUUAGCGGCGGACGGGUGAGUAACACGUGGAUAACCUACCUAUAAGACUGGGAUAACUUCGGGAAACCGGAGCUAAUACCGGAUAAUAUAUUGAACCGCAUGGUUCAAUAGUGAAAGACGGUUUUGCUGUCACUUAUAGAUGGAUCCGCGCCGCAUUAGCUAGUUGGUAAGGUAACGGCUUACCAAGGCAACGAUGCGUAGCCGACCUGAGAGGGUGAUCGGCCACACUGGAACUGAGACACGGUCCAGACUCCUACGGGAGGCAGCAGUAGGGAAUCUUCCGCAAUGGGCGAAAGCCUGACGGAGCAACGCCGCGUGAGUGAUGAAGGUCUUCGGAUCGUAAAACUCUGUUAUUAGGGAAGAACAAAUGUGUAAGUAACUAUGCACGUCUUGACGGUACCUAAUCAGAAAGCCACGGCUAACUACGUG
RNAcentral lists this ribosomal RNA (497 nucleotides) under uncultured bacterium. Its description in RNAcentral is "partial 16S ribosomal RNA". It matches the Rfam family "Bacterial small subunit ribosomal RNA", at positions 28 to 507 of the family's 1533-position model. The record is from RNAcentral.